AGUGAACGCUGGCGGUAGGCCUAACACAUGCAAGUCGAACGGCAGCACAGUAAGAGCUUGCUCUUACGGGUGGCGAGUGGCGGACGGGUGAGGAAUACAUCGGAAUCUACUUUUUCGUGGGGGAUAACGUAGGGAAACUUACGCUAAUACCGCAUACGACCUACGGGUGAAAGCAGGGGAUCUUCGGACCUUGCGCGAUUGAAUGAGCCGAUGUCGGAUUAGCUAGUUGGCGGGGUAAAGGCCCACCAAGGCGACGAUCCGUAGCUGGUCUGAGAGGAUGAUCAGCCACACUGGAACUGAGACACGGUCCAGACUCCUACGGGAGGCAGCAGUGGGGAAUAUUGGACAAAGGGCGCAAGCCUGAUCCAGCCAUACCGCGUGGGUGAAGAAGGCCUUCGGUUUGUAAAGCCCUUUUGUUGGGAAAGAAAAGCAGCAGGUUAAUACCCCGCUGUUCUGACGGUACCCAAAGAAUAAGCACCGGCUAACUUCGUG
RNAcentral lists this ribosomal RNA (492 nucleotides) under uncultured bacterium. Its description in RNAcentral is "partial 16S ribosomal RNA". It matches the Rfam family "Bacterial small subunit ribosomal RNA", at positions 29 to 507 of the family's 1533-position model. The record is from RNAcentral.